This 239-nucleotide long non-coding RNA is filed under the name Capsicum annuum. RNAcentral describes it as "long non-coding RNA (CANN_LNC012732)". The record is from RNAcentral. Lineage: Eukaryota; Viridiplantae; Streptophyta; Magnoliopsida; Solanales; Solanaceae.
GAGAUAAUCCCCUGCACCUAACAAACCUAAACACAACACACUCCAAAGUCGGAUAAAUUCCAAAUAUACAACAAGAUAGAGCGCAAUAGCUUAAGAAAGUUUUAAUGAAUGUCCAUAACCAACCAUAGAUGACCGACCAAAUGACUGACCGAAACCACCUAAUAACCAAAGUUGUCCAAACAAAGCCUUCUAACAAUGACCUAAAACUAAAUAUCAAUAAAGUGUCGAGAUAUGCCCCC